Molecule: Y RNA, 110 nt
Filed under: Microcebus murinus (gray mouse lemur)
Lineage: Eukaryota; Metazoa; Chordata; Mammalia; Primates; Cheirogaleidae
Description: Y RNA (ENSMICG00000045117.1)
Rfam family: Y RNA
About the family: Y RNAs are components of the Ro ribonucleoprotein particle (Ro RNP), in association with Ro60 and La proteins. The Y RNAs and Ro60 and La proteins are well conserved, but the function of the Ro RNP is not known.
Source: Rfam by way of RNAcentral
GGCUGGUAUGAAGGUAGUGAAUUAUCUCACUUGAUUGUUCACAGUCUAUUACAGAUAGAACUCCUUGUUCUGCUACUUUCCUUCUCACUACUGUACUUGACUAGUCUUGA